UACGGAGGGUGCAAGCGUUAUCCGGAUUCACUGGGUUUAAAGGGUGCGUAGGCGGGCAGGUAAGUCAGUGGUGAAAUCUUUGGGCUUAACCCGAAAACUGCCAUUGAUACUAUCUGUCUUGAAUAUUGUGGAGGUUGGCGGAAUAUGUCAUGUAGCGGUGAAAUGCUUAGAUAUGACAUAGAACACCUAUUGCGAAGGCAGCAAACUACGCAUAUAUUGACGCUGAGGCACGAAAGCGUGGGGAUCAAACAGG
RNAcentral lists this ribosomal RNA (253 nucleotides) under uncultured bacterium. Its description in RNAcentral is "partial 16S ribosomal RNA". It matches the Rfam family "Bacterial small subunit ribosomal RNA", at positions 524 to 776 of the family's 1533-position model. The record is from RNAcentral.